CAGGAUGGGACAACAGACGGAAACGACUGCUAAUACCGAAUAAGUUCCAGAGCCGCAUGGCCCAUGGAAGAAAAGGUGGCCUCUACCUGUAAGCUAUCGCCUGAAGAGGGGUUUGCGUCUGAUUAGCUGGUUGGAGGGGUAACGGCCCACCAAGGCGACGAUCAGUAGCCGGUCUGAGAGGAUGAACGGCCACACUGGAACUGAGACACGGUCCAGACUCCUACGGGAGGCAGCAUG
This 237-nucleotide ribosomal RNA is filed under the name uncultured bacterium. RNAcentral describes it as "partial 16S ribosomal RNA". It matches the Rfam family "Bacterial small subunit ribosomal RNA", at positions 133 to 353 of the family's 1533-position model. The record is from RNAcentral.